UACGUAGGUGGCAAGCGUUGUCCGGAUUUACUGGGCGUAAAGGGCGUGCAGGCGGUCUGUUAAGUUCAGGGUGAAAGCUCCCGGCUCAACUGGGAGAGGUCCUUGGAUACUGGCAGACUUGAGGAGGGUAGAGGAGAGUGGAAUUCCCGGUGUAGUGGUGAUAUGCGUAGAUAUCGGGAGGAACACCAGUGGCGAAGGCGAGUCUCUGGACAUUUCCUGACGCUGAGGCACGAAAGCCAGGGGAGCAAACGGG
RNAcentral lists this ribosomal RNA (253 nucleotides) under uncultured bacterium. RNAcentral's name for it is "partial 16S ribosomal RNA". It matches the Rfam family "Bacterial small subunit ribosomal RNA", at positions 524 to 776 of the family's 1533-position model. The record is from RNAcentral.